Molecule: non-coding RNA, 90 nt
Organism: Cryptococcus depauperatus CBS 7841
Lineage: Eukaryota; Fungi; Basidiomycota; Tremellomycetes; Tremellales; Cryptococcaceae
Source: Rfam
GGGGGUGUAGCUCAUUUGGCAGAGCGCGUCAUUAGCAUCUAAUAUGGUUCUGACUUGACGAGGUACUGGGUUCAAUUCCCAGCUCCUCCA